RNAcentral lists this ribosomal RNA (253 nucleotides) under uncultured bacterium. RNAcentral's name for it is "partial 16S ribosomal RNA". It matches the Rfam family "Bacterial small subunit ribosomal RNA", at positions 524 to 776 of the family's 1533-position model. The record is from RNAcentral.
UACGGAGGGAGCAAGCGUUACUCGGAAUUAUUGGGCGUAAAGGGCGCGUAGGCGAUCCGACAAGUCUGGUGUGAAAGCCCACAUGUUAACUGUGGAAGUGCAUUAGAAACUGUUGGAUUUGAGUUCAGGAGAGGAAAGCAGAAUUCCCGGUGUAGCGGUGAAAUGCGUAGAGAUCGGGAGGAAUACCAGUGGCGAAGGCGGCUUUCUGGACUGACACUGACGCUGAGGUGCGAAAGCGUGGGGAGCAAACAGG